GCCUAGUGCUGGAGAAACAGCAGAGAUGAAAAUUGCUGCCUGAUACUCAUAUAAUGAGCAGCUCACAGCAGGGCAGAGGAACAAGGAUGACACUGCAUGGCAAAAUAAAGCCUGAGCCAUUCAUUGCAUAUUAGCUUCUCUUCAAUUCAAAGAAACAUGAAUCCCCUCCACAGCUAUUAUAAAUAAAAGUAACAUUACAGAAAUUGCUAUGUCAGGUAUAAUGUAGGUUGCACUUUUUCUCCCAAGUUCUCUUCUCUGGUUAGCUAUUCUUUAGCUCUGAAGAAUCUGAUGGGCUGUCCUAACAUGCACACUGAUGUAAUAAUGCAAUUACACUGUUACUAACCACCUGAAUAUAGAACACAACAUGCAUAAGUGAGAAAGUUGCUAAUACUCAACUACUGCCUGCCCUGUUAAGCAACUGCUGAUUCAAGAUAACAUAUUUGCCACUAAGGAACAAAGAUGUUUUGCCAACAUUGUCAUCUGUAUGUUCUAAUCAGCUUCCUAAGAAAUGUUUGGUGAGUUCUGCAGUUCAGGAGAGAACAGCAAGAAAGAUAAAACCACAGGGAUAAUCUAGUAAAUCUAUCCAGAGGUUUGGACUGACAAGUCAGAUACAGUUUGUGUUAUUUAUAUGUCAGUAGUAUUCCUCAUUAAGUAGCCAGAGGUUACAGAAGCAGUACAAAAUAUAUUUGUUGUAUAGAAUUCUAUUAUUUAAACAUUUCUGAUUAUCUAAGAAGAUACUGCCAUUGGCUACAAAAUCAGCUUGUUGCAGAGGAUGGUAGAGGUAGAGAACAGCAGAGGAUUAUACAUAAAACUUGAAAAUAAAAUGAAUAAAUACAAUAUUUUGAUGAUACAAAAAAAAUAGUUAGGGAAAUAACUGUACCACUUUCUUUUGACAGAUGUUUGUUUGGGGAUCUGGUGAUGUACAUGUCUUCCUGUCAUCAGAAAAAAAGCAGACCAAGAAUCACAAUGACUUACCACACUGUCUUGCUCAGCAAAUUUUUUUUUAGGAUAAAGUGCAAACACUGAAAAUGCUUAGCGCUUAUAUAUCAAGCAAUGCCGUUGUAAAUAUUAGAA
This 1074-nucleotide long non-coding RNA is filed under the name Anser brachyrhynchus (Pink-footed goose). Its description in RNAcentral is "lncRNA (ENSABRG00000004537.1)". The record is from RNAcentral. Lineage: Eukaryota; Metazoa; Chordata; Aves; Anseriformes; Anatidae.